Long non-coding RNA from Drosophila nasuta, 2669 nucleotides. RefSeq lists it as uncharacterized. The transcript is spliced from 6 exons. The record is from RefSeq and is a predicted model, not a curated record. NCBI's taxonomy places the organism in Eukaryota, Metazoa, Arthropoda, Insecta, Diptera, Drosophilidae.
UUAUCACUGAUUAACCUAGGACUAUUUUGUUUUAAUUUGUUUAAAACUAUUUCUUUAUGAAUAUGAAUCAUUAUUAUUGUUCCCAGAAUAUACAACUGUCCGAAUAAGAAUAUUAUUGUAAUACUAAUUUUUUUUAUUGUUCAAAAUAUCUUUUGAGAAGGUGUAUUGAAAUAUACCAAUUUGGUAUUUCUCAUUACAAAAGAUUCUUGAACAGCCGUGAACUGGUCACACUAAAAGUGUUUCGCUCUCUGCUCUUUAAGCUCUCUUCCCUUUUGUAUUAUUGACAGAACGAACAAGUUGUAAAAUGAGCGGCAACCAAGCGGUCGUGGUGCUAAAUUGCCGCGUAUGCACCCAGGCAUGUAACUACUACAAAUCUCUGAAAUGUGAGAUCGAGAUUGGGCCAGAGAGCAGCACAACGGUGGCAAAGAUGCUCACCUUUUGCUUUGGCUUUUCGUAUGAGCCGCAAGAUGGCGCCGCAGCACGUUUGCCACAGCAAAUUUGCAUGGCUUGUUUGCCAUUGGCGAAGCAAGCAUACAUUUUAAAGCGCACGGCCAUCGAAGCCAACGAAGGGGCCUAGUUCCUCAACUGUAAAUUUAAACUGACUUGUGCUGAAAUAAUUGAAUGAACUCAUGCUAGUCCCUACACACAUACACUAAAAUACAGAGUUUUGUUUGUUAUUCCUUCGAUACGAAGAUGAAGAAAAUGGGACAAUUUUAAUGUGUAGUGGAGAGAUGAAGAACGAAAAAUAAUGGCGAAUUGUAACGCUACAGCAUUUUUUUUUAAUUUUAUUAAGAUGAAGAAAAUAAAAUGAUGAAUCCAAAAGUACAAAGCAUGUACAUACAUGUAUACUUUUGCACUUAUGAAUGUAUAGUUGAGAGAUAAAAACGAAAAAUAACGGCGAAUUACGGUGCUAGUGCAAAACAAAAUAAAUUGAAAUGGUUUCAUGCGUAUAUGUGCUUGGACGUACUUAAAUAUGAAUUAUCCACAAAACUACGGAAUUCUUUAAUAUGUAGAAAAUGGGUCAUGCACCAGUACCGCAGCAAGCUGAGGCUAGGCGGCCCAUAUGUAACCCAGCUACUCUAGGCGAUACUGGGGCUGCUGAGGGUGACCCUCGUGGAUCGGUGCGUGGACGACGAUUAAUUACCGAAAUUGUGCGAUCUCAUCCCAGUGGUCUGCUUACUAAAAUGGGUACUACAGGCAAACCAAUCACUGUUCAAACAAAUUACUUCAAAUUUCCCAAUUGGUCGCUUUAUCAGUACCGUGUUGAUUUCUCGCCCGAUGUUGAUAAUACAUUCCUACGUCAGUCGUUCAGGAGAGAAUAUAAGCAUUAAAAUAAGGAGCGUAGGUAUUGUUGAGGCAAUGGAUCCUCAGCAGUUACAAAUUCUUCUUAACUUGAUUUUGCGUCGUGCUAUGGAAGGCCUGCAACUUCAAAUAGUGUCUCGCAAUUAUUUCGACCCGCAAGCCAAGAUUGUAUUGGAUAGUAAGCAUCGAAUGGAAUUAUGGCCGGGGUAUAUAACUUCAAUUCGUCAACAUGAAUCUGAUUUUCUCUUAUGCACUGAAAUCGCAGUUACUGAAAUCAGUUAUGGACACGCUUAUGGAUACUGAGGCCUCUCUUGGUUGGGAAUGCCCUGAUGCAUUCGUCGCACUUGAAUGGCUCAAUUACUUUAUCGAUUGACUCUUCGCCCGAUAUGACCAUCUGAUCCCUCUUCGACCUCCUCGGUUUCGGCCUCGGCCUCAAUCUCUUCCUCCUCCACCUGGGAGGCCAUUGCUUCGGCCUCAUUGGCGUCGCUGCCGCCCAGCAGCUCGUUCAUACUGUUGAUUGGCGGAGACAGCGGAAGCACUGUUGCUGUUAUUAUUGUUGUGACUAUUGGCAUUGUUGUUGAGGCCCAAACGCAAAAGUUCGAUGGCCGUGCGCUUUAAAAUGUAUGCUUGCUUCGCCAAUGGCAAACAAGCCAUGCAAAUUUGCUGUGGCAAACGUGCUGCGGCGCCAUCUUGCGGCUCAUACGACAAGCCAAAGCAAAAGGUGAGCAUCUUUGCCACCGUUGUGCUGCUCUCUGGCCCAAUCUCGAUCUCACAUUUCAGCGAUUUGUAGUAUUUACAUGCCUGGGUGCAUACGCGGCAAUUUAGCACCACGACUUACUUACUUUACAACUUGUCCGUUCUCUGUCAAAAAUACAAAAUUGGUAUAUUUCAAUACACCUCCUCAAAAGAUAUUUUGAAGAAUAAAAAAAAUUAGUAUUACAAUAAUAUUCUUAUUCGGACAGUUGUAUAUUCUGGGAACAAUAAUGAUUCAUAUUCAUCUAGAAAUAGUUUUAAACAAAUUAAAACAAAAUAGUUCUAGGAUUAAGGGAAACCCAGUAAAACCUCAAAUCAUUGGUUAAUCAAUGAUAAUAUGUAAUAUGUUAGAAAUAUUCACAAAUAAAAGCACUGUGCUGUUUGGAGAACAGAAUAAGACUGACUAUUUCGUCAGUGCACAGUGGUUCCGCCAAUAUGGGAGUUGCGGCCAAAAAUACUUCUAGUUGUUAUAUUGCUACGAAAUUUUGCCCAAAAUUCUAUAAAAAUAUUUUGUAUAUAUAGUAAAAAAAUUGUCUAGAUCGGAAUACUAUAUCCUAUAGCUCCCAUACAACCUUAGUAUGGCUUAUAUGCCGAUAGUGCGCCAAAAUACUUCC